This is a long non-coding RNA of Folsomia candida, 973 nucleotides long. RefSeq lists it as uncharacterized. Lineage: Eukaryota; Metazoa; Arthropoda; Collembola; Entomobryomorpha; Isotomidae. The record is from RefSeq and is a predicted model, not a curated record. The transcript has 3 exons.
UCUCUUUUUUUCUACUCUGCUGUAAAAUGUGACAACAUUAAUCAAAUCUCUUUACAAUCUCCUGCCAAAAAAAGACACCAUUACACUUUGACUUUGACAAAAAACCGACACAAGAAGCCUGCACAAGCUACACGAUUCUAAAUGAGAAAAGGAAAGGAAUUUUGGUGGGUGUGACGACGAUGGAAUAAGAGUCUAAUGCUUUACAACAGACUUAGGCAGAUGGGAUUGUGAAAACCACUAUUAAAAUAAAUUAUCUAGUGGUACAACAAACAAUACGGGUUGAGAAGGGUGAGAAGAUUGGAUAAAAAAAGUGUUGCUGCUUUUUAAGGACUGAAACGAAUUGGAAUUUCUAUUUCAUUUACAGGAUGGGGUGGGUUGAAAUGGAUUCUCAACUCGGCAACAACAACUCGACAACAAUCAGUAACAUUAUACUAAAUGUGAUGAUGAAUAAUGGGGACCUUAAUUUUUUGACGGCACGAUUUUUCCAUCCAUUAUCUUAAUGCUCAAUUCCGUUUUAAUUAAAAAAUAGCCUCACCACCACCACUCAACUAUUAUUCAUCAAGACAUCACAGUCUCAAUUAAGAUGAGGCUAUUAAUCAAAAUCAAACGAAUUAAGAAUUCAUCAGUAUCAUUAUUACCGUCGACAUUUAAAUAUUUCACAUGGAUGGCGUUUGGUUUAAAAUGUGGAAAAUCAUUCAUUCAAACUUUCAAACGUUUAAGUAGAUAGAAAAUCCACCAAUUUACGAGUCAUGCUGCAUAAUUGCAUCUCUUUUUCUCUCUCCCUCUCUCUCUCUCUCUACCUUGAAAUCACCAAUAAAUUCAACUAAAAAAGACCAAUAAAACAAUCUGCACCAUUGUAUCAAACCUAAAACAGCACAGAAAACAAUUCAAGCGACACGAGCAGAAAAGUGCAACGCUUUUAAAUAAAGAAAAGGUCUGAAUAGCAUAUCACCAGCACCACCACAAUAUAAAG